GAACCUGAGAGCGUGAAAAAGGAGCCGACAACAGAGAAGAUACGACUACCCGAGUUUUAGAACGCAGCAAAAUCACAAUACCUACACACAAAAUAGACAUAAUAACAGAUAAUGUAUCAUACAAAAUAUUUAAAAUUAAUAAAAAUAGAACGUGGAUGAAUAUAGCGUAUAAGAAUAUGGUCCCAAAAAUAACGUGAAUGAAUGUGUGUCACUAUCUAAUAAGCAACAGCUAGCAUAUCAUGUUAGCAUCGUAUAAAGUAUUCAUAAAGAUAAUAAACUAAAGUUAAUGAAAGAAUCGCAAGUUCAAAUAUGUGAUUAAGAAGCUUGAUUAUCUUAAUCUUAACUUAACCCUUGUUUUCAUAUAUCCAAGCAAAACUAAGAAGAUAAUGACGUAAUC
Molecule: long non-coding RNA, 397 nt
Filed under: Vigna radiata
Lineage: Eukaryota; Viridiplantae; Streptophyta; Magnoliopsida; Fabales; Fabaceae
Description: long non-coding RNA (VRAD_LNC007850)
Source: RNAcentral